GGGAGUGGGAUUAGUUUUGCUCCUUUUAUGGAGACUAAUAGGCUAAGUUAGCAUAACUUUGGGUCAUUAGCCUCCUCUGAGAUCCUAUAAAGUUCACCUUUAGGACACUGAUGCCAGUGGGAGCCCCACCUGUGACCCUCGGAGGUUGGGCUCUGACUCAGAACGCCGCUCCUUUCUUGACCGUAGUUCCCACACUCUGUUCAGACUGAACUUCCAGCUUAAUUCUGACUCACACUCCAGUGUUUCUGCCUGAAAGGACACAUGUGACUUCUCCGUCUACUAGCAGGCUGGCAGCACAUGAUGGCCAGGAGUGAUUCAUGGACAUGUGUAAUUUUCCCUGAGAGAUUCACAAAUGUUAGGAGAGAGGGAAAGCUGAGAGAUGCCUUACCAUCUUCAAAUGAGCCAAGUUGGGGCUGGGAGCUUCGAGUCUGCAAUUAAGGCUCAAAGACCUUCCCAGAAUUCAAGCCAAGUAUCAAGAAGAUGACACUUAGGUAGAUGUUAGCACCGCAUUCAGGAGAAGCAGCAUCUCCAGCUCUGACUCCAAAGAAAGCCAAGGAACACGGGUCUUGCAGCAGGACAGGACUGCCAGAGGCACGCGGUCUAGACAAGAAGGGCCUAGAGAAAAGUCUCCUCUGGAAGCAGCGUCUUAAUGGAGUGUGACUACCCUGUGCGAUAUCCUCUGCGAUCAUCUCCUCUGCUACUCUCCUGAAGAGGAAAAUUCAAAAUAAAAAGCUGCAUAAACAUGAUAUUAUAGUAUACUACAGUUCCUUUAUAACUUUUGAUAAAUUUCUUCUUCCCCUUAGUUUAUUUUCUUGCUCCAAUAGUUUCAAAAUUCUUUUUAAAUUCCUCUAAUCAUGUGCUUCUCAAAAUGUGGUUCCCAGACUAGCAGCAUUGACAUCAUCAGAGGACUUGUUAGAAGCAUGACCUAUCAGCCACCCCAGAUUACACAAUCUGACACUUGGCGGGCUGCCUGGCCAGCGGUGAGGUUACAAGCCCUCCAGGGGAUUCUGAAGCACCUCAAGUUUUAACACCACUGCUCUAACCAUCCUCCCUUUUCUUAGCCAUGACCUUUUUAAGUAUAAUAUGUAUUAGUAGGGGCUACAAAUUUGCUGAGUCGCCUUCCUUUCCCUUACUCUAACCUUCCAGUCACCACUCUGCUUGGAUUCUUUCCUCAGCAAAUUUCUCUCAACAUUUUCUCUCCCAUCUUGGAAUGCCACUGCUCCUUCCUAGAUCAGCGACUGGAGUUUGCGGUCCUUUUCCAUCUAUCUGGCAAUUGUCAACACGCCCUA
Molecule: long non-coding RNA, 1289 nt
Organism: Equus asinus (donkey)
Lineage: Eukaryota; Metazoa; Chordata; Mammalia; Perissodactyla; Equidae
Source: Ensembl